Molecule: ribosomal RNA, 627 nt
Filed under: uncultured Leucobacter sp.
Lineage: Bacteria; Bacillati; Actinomycetota; Actinomycetes; Micrococcales; Microbacteriaceae
Description: bacterial SSU rRNA
Rfam family: Bacterial small subunit ribosomal RNA
Source: RNAcentral
UCUCUCAUCCGAUUACAGAUAGAUCCUGGCUCAGGACGAUCUCUCGCCGCGUGCUUAACACAUGCAAGUCGAACGAUGAAGCCCAGCUUGCUGGGUGGAAGAGUGGCGAACGGGUGAGUAACACGUGAGUAACCUGCCCUUCACUCUGGGAUAAGCACUGGAAACGGUGUCUAAUACUGGAUACGACCCUUAUAGGCAUCUGUUGGGGGUGGAAAGAUUUAUCGGUGAAGGAUGGGCUCGCGGCCUAUCAGGUUGUUGGUGAGGUAACGGCUCACCAAGCCUACGACGGGUAGCCGGCCUGAGAGGGUGACCGGCCACACUGGGACUGAGACACGGCCCAGACUCCUACGGGAGGCAGCAGUGGGGAAUAUUGCACAAUGGGCGCAAGCCUGAUGCAGCAACGCCGCGUGAGGGAUGACGGCCUUUCGGGUUGUAAACCUCUUUUAGUAGGGAAGAAGCGUAAGUGACGGGUACCUGCAGAAAAAGCACCGGCUAACUACGUGCCAGCAGCCGCGGUAAUACGUAGGGGUGCAAGCGUUGUUCCGGAAUUAUUGGGGCGUUAAGGAGCUCGUAGGGCGGCUUGUCCGCGGUCUGGCCGUGAAAGCCCCGGAAGCUUCAACUUCCGUC